AUUGAACGCUGGCGGCAGGCCUAACACAUGCAAGUCGAGCGGAUGAAGGGAGCUUGCUCCUGGAUUCAGCGGCGGACGGGUGAGUAAUGCCUAGGAAUCUGCCUGGUAGUGGGGGAUAACGUCCGGAAACGGGCGCUAAUACCGCAUACGUCCUGAGGGAGAAAGUGGGGGAUCUUCGGACCUCACGCUAUCAGAUGAGCCUAGGUCGGAUUAGCUAGUUGGUGGGGUAAAGGCCUACCAAGGCGACGAUCCGUAACUGGUCUGAGAGGGUGAUCAGUCAAACUGGAACUGAGACACGGUCCAGACUCCUACGGGAGGCAGCAGUGGGGAAUCUUGGACAAUGGGCGAAAGCCUGAUCCAGCCAUGCCGCGUGUGUGAAGAAGGUCUUCGGAUUGUAAAGCUCUUUAAGUUGGGAGGAAGGGCAGUAAGUGAAUACAUUGCUGUUUUGACGUUACCAACAGAAUAAGCACCGGCUAACUUCGUG
RNAcentral lists this ribosomal RNA (484 nucleotides) under uncultured bacterium. RNAcentral describes it as "partial 16S ribosomal RNA". It matches the Rfam family "Bacterial small subunit ribosomal RNA", at positions 30 to 507 of the family's 1533-position model. The record is from RNAcentral.